Small nuclear RNA from Ochotona princeps (American pika), 177 nucleotides. Its record names the gene U1. It matches the Rfam family "U1 spliceosomal RNA". Rfam says of the family: U1 is a small nuclear RNA (snRNA) component of the spliceosome (involved in pre-mRNA splicing). Its 5' end forms complementary base pairs with the 5' splice junction, thus defining the 5' donor site of an intron. The record is from Ensembl. Lineage: Eukaryota; Metazoa; Chordata; Mammalia; Lagomorpha; Ochotonidae.
AUACUUACCUGGCUGGGAGAUGCCAUGACCACGAAGGUGGUUUUCCCCGGGGCGAGGCUUAUCCACUGCACUCUGGGCGUGCUGACCCUGCGAUCUCCCCAAUAUGGGAAACACUACUGCAUAAUGUGUGGUAGAGGGGGCUGCGUAACUUACUAAUUAUAUGUGUAUAUUCUCUGA